This 253-nucleotide ribosomal RNA is filed under the name uncultured bacterium. Its description in RNAcentral is "partial 16S ribosomal RNA". It matches the Rfam family "Bacterial small subunit ribosomal RNA", at positions 524 to 776 of the family's 1533-position model. The record is from RNAcentral.
UACAGAGGUCUCAAGCGUUGUUCGGAUUCAUUGGGCGUAAAGCGCGCGCAGGCGGUCCUUUAAGUCUGAUGUGAAAGCCCACGGCUCAACCGUGGAGGGUCAUUGGAAACUGAGGGACUUGAGUGCAGGAGAGAAGAGUGGAAUUCCACGUGUAGCGGUGAAAUGCGUAGAGAUGUGGAGGAACACCAGUGGCGAAGGCGACUCUUUGGCCUGUAACUGACGCUGAGGCGCGAAAGCGUGGGGAGCAAACAGG